GAAGCAGAACAGUGCCAAGCAGUAUUGCAGCACUGUGAGAGCCAGUCAGCCCUUGCUUUUUUGCUCCAGCUAGCUGGGAACUCAGCAGAGCCACUGCUCCUCGUCAUGGCAGGAUAAUCUCCUGCAGGAGAUGCUGCUACACUGAUCCUGCUGCUGUGGUCCCAGGUCAGAGCAGCCAGGAUCCCCCCCAUCCUGCUGUGGUGGCCAUUUGUCCAUGUGAGAAGCAGCUGCUCCUGGCUCCCAGCUCCUUUGGAGCUCAGUGGCUACCUGGGAGAUGUUUUCCAUCUCCAAUUUUUGUGGAGCCUGACUGGCAAGUAAGAAGUUGUCUUCUCUCCAGAGAAAAUAAUCUGUUCUGAGCAAACAAGGGAUACCACUGAAGUACCACUGGCAUAUUUUGGACUGAAGGCACCAGGGAGAAAGUACCUUGAGAUGAAGCAAACUGAGAGAGAAGCCAUGAAAGUCACGUUGAAGGCAAAAGUUUUGUGCUGUCUUGGAUCAGUGAAUUUCCUGAUAGAGACAGAUGCUUGUACUCUACCAAGAGGAGCUACCUCUAGACAAAAAGCUAAAGACCACAUUUGGCACUGUCAAAUACUCAUCAUCCUUUUAGUACCUCAAAGUGUAAAUCUGAUCAUGCUCUGUAACAGUCUCAAUGAACUUUUGAGCUUACAGCCCUUUUAUCUUGAAUAACAUUUUUUCCUGUUUCUGUUUGGCAAUCUGAUUUUAUUAGGAUUUGUCAGUGUAGUCAAGUGUGCAUCUGAAUCGCCUGAGAAAUUUAACAGUGCAAGUAAUGGAGAAUCAUGUCCUGUUGCAUUUAGAGGCAUCUGCCCUUAAAUAGAGAGGGUUUUUCUGCCACAUGCAAUAAUUUCUAUCUUUCUAUCAGAAAACUGAUAUAACCUACCUUUGUAUGGAAAAGAGUGACUAAACACUGCAUUUCUCUGAGUCUACACAGGAGAAAUAUUGCUACAAAACUACAUUGGUGUUACUUGUUUAUUUUAACAUCUCGUGACAGAGUGAGAAAGAAACAUUUUUCACAAAGGAAAAGGAGACACCACCCCCCCCAGUUCUCCCACUGCUGUAGAAGCACCAGCAUAUAGUCAAGAAUUUUCCAUAUCAGUCAAACUGGAGUCGAAGAUGCUUUGAACAAACCACAUGGACCUCAGCCUGACACCCUUGUGCCCCAGGUGAAAUCCCAGCUAACCAUUUCA
Motacilla alba alba is the source of this 1205-nucleotide long non-coding RNA. RefSeq lists it as uncharacterized. The transcript is spliced from 3 exons. The record is from RefSeq and is a predicted model, not a curated record. NCBI's taxonomy places the organism in Eukaryota, Metazoa, Chordata, Aves, Passeriformes, Motacillidae.